CCUACGGGCGGCAGCAGUAGGGAAUAUUGCUCAAUGGGGGAAACCCUGAAGCAGCAACGCCGCGUGGAGGAUGAAGGUUUUCGGAUUGUAAACUCCUUUUGUUAGAGAAGAUAAUGACGGUAUCUAACGAAUAAGCACCGGCUAACUCCGUGCCAGCAGCCGCGGUAAUACGGAGGGUGCAAGCGUUACUCGGAAUCACUGGGCGUAAAGAGCGCGUAGGCGGGUUAGCAAGUCAGAUGUGAAAUCCUAUGGCUUAACCGUAGAACUGCAUUUGAAACUGUUAUUCUAGAGUAUGGGAGAGGUAGGUGGAAUUCUUGGUGUAGGGGUAAAAUGCGUAGAGAUCAAGAGGAAUACUCAUUGCGAAGGCGACCUGCUAGAACAUAACUGACGCUGAUGCGCGAAAGCGUGGGGAGCAAACAGGAUUAGAUACCCUAGUAGUC
This 440-nucleotide ribosomal RNA is filed under the name uncultured bacterium. Its description in RNAcentral is "partial 16S ribosomal RNA". It matches the Rfam family "Bacterial small subunit ribosomal RNA", at positions 338 to 795 of the family's 1533-position model. The record is from RNAcentral.